CAAGAUAUAAUUUAAGCAGAAUACUAGCUUUGGGGGUUAGUUGCGGGAGUUAAAUUCUCUCUGUCUUGA
This 69-nucleotide transfer RNA is filed under the name Allobates femoralis (brilliant-thighed poison frog). RNAcentral's name for it is "tRNA-Pro". It matches the Rfam family "tRNA". Rfam says of the family: Transfer RNA (tRNA) molecules are approximately 80 nucleotides in length. Their secondary structure includes four short double-helical elements and three loops (D, anti-codon, and T loops). Further hydrogen bonds mediate the characteristic L-shaped molecular structure. tRNAs have two regions of fundamental functional importance: the anti-codon, which is responsible for specific mRNA codon recognition, and the 3' end, to which the tRNAs corresponding amino acid is attached (by aminoacyl-tRNA synthetases). tRNAs cope with the degeneracy of the genetic code in two manners: having more than one tRNA (with a specific anti-codon) for a particular amino acid; and 'wobble' base-pairing, i.e. permitting non-standard base-pairing at the 3rd anti-codon position. The record is from RNAcentral. Lineage: Eukaryota; Metazoa; Chordata; Amphibia; Anura; Aromobatidae.